ACAUAAUUUGUUCACUUAGAAAUAAAAACUCAAUAUUUUGAGUAAAACAAAUCAUUUUUACCCCCUUGUAUUCCUUUUAAUACUGUAAAUAUGCAUACACACUGUAUAUACAGUGUAUUUUUGCAAACACAUGUUUGUGUGAGUGCUGUGACAAACUCCACACAAGACAGUCGUGUUGGUGUUACAAUAUCUCUGUCUGAAGUUUGGUGUGUAUGGCUAAUCAGUUUUUGUGUUAAGUUACUAUGCAAAAACACCAGAAGAGUUCAAAUAGUUUUAAACGAAGUGUUUGCUUUUGCAAGAGAUGCAUAAUGUUUUGCAUGUUGCAUGCGUGUUUUGUGGUUUUGUGUGUAGAGUUCAGAGAAAUGGAGCCCUGGUUCUGUCUCUCAUUGGUUGGAUUGUGUCAUGUGACCCUGAUUGUUUGGUGUAUAUGUAGCCCUCAUGUAGCCUUUGUCUCUUGUCGUGUGUUGAUGUUGUAACCUGCUGUCGGUGAGUCAAGUCUAAAUCAUUAAAGGAGUGGUUGACUGUUUCUUUUCUAGGCUUGAUUGUGUUUAUGGGGUGCAGUCUAAGAUGUGUUCAUGCUUCAGUUUAAAAAAAAAUGCAUAAUUUUUCACAUAAUUUAGCUUUAUUCCACACCGAUCUGCCCCUUCUCUGACAAAAGCCUUGAUUAUUUCCUGUUAUUGUGAAGCGCCUCCCUCAGAAAUACACGAUGGGCUGAGAUUGGUCAGAUGGCUCAGUGUGCUGUGAUUGGCUAAACUGCCUCGAGCGCGUCUGAACAUCCCGCCCCUCUCAAGCUCAGAAUGUGCUCCGGUUUUAUUGUAAACAAUGACGUCCUCUAUAUUGCUCAUCAAUGUGAGCUUGAUUGAGACGCAGAGAAUAUUAUGAAGAGGAUCGCGCAGAACCUGUGCAAGCACGGCUCUUAAUGUUCCUGGGGCAGGAGCCACCAAGACACCACUUUCUCUUGAUAGAGAGGAUCUGUAUGCCGGCCUACAUUUAUACCUCUCAGAUCGUAGACCUGUCCAUCAGAUGAACCUCCUGCCCAAGGAUCU
This is a long non-coding RNA of Cyprinus carpio (common carp), 1046 nucleotides long. RefSeq lists it as uncharacterized. The transcript has 2 exons. NCBI's taxonomy places the organism in Eukaryota, Metazoa, Chordata, Actinopteri, Cypriniformes, Cyprinidae. The record is from RefSeq and is a predicted model, not a curated record.